Molecule: ribosomal RNA, 511 nt
Filed under: uncultured bacterium
Lineage: Bacteria
Description: partial 16S ribosomal RNA
Rfam family: Bacterial small subunit ribosomal RNA
Source: RNAcentral
GACAAACGCUGGCGGCAUGCCUAACACAUGCAAGUCGAACGGACAGAACAGGGAAGCUUUUCGGAGUGGAACUGGAAAGUUAGUGGCGGAUGGGUGAGUAACGCGUGGACAACCUACCUUGUAAAGGGGAAUAACCUCGAGAAAUCGAAGCUAAUACCCCAUAAUAACCUUGCUUCGCAUGAAGUAAGGAGGAAAGGCGGCCUUAGCGCUGUCGAUACAAGAUGGGUCCGCGUCUGAUUAGCUAGUUGGUGAGGUAAAGGCUCACCAAGGCGACGAUCAGGAGCCGGCCUGAGAGGGUGAACGGCCACAUUGGAACUGAGCCACGGCCCAAACUCCUACGGGAGGCAGCAGUGGGGAAUCUUCCGCAAUGGGCGAAAGCCUGACGGAGCAAUGCCGCGUGAGUGAAGAAGGCCUUCGGGUUGUAAAACUCUGUCCUUAUCGAAGAGAGAGUGUUGUAGUAACUGACAAUACUAGGACGGUAGAUGAGGAGGAAGCCCCGGCUAACUAUGUG